Molecule: non-coding RNA, 75 nt
Organism: Kitasatospora griseola
Lineage: Bacteria; Bacillati; Actinomycetota; Actinomycetes; Kitasatosporales; Streptomycetaceae
Rfam family: ASpks TB sRNA
Source: Rfam
CUUCACCGAGCCGAGCCACAGCGGACGGUCCGCCGGGCGCUCCGGUCCGUGGACGGCCUGGAGCGCCUGCGCCUC